GACGAACGCUGGCGGCGUGCUUAACACAUGCAAGUCGUACGGUAAGGCCCUUUCGGGGGUACACGAGUGGCGAACGGGUGCGUAACACGUGAGUAACCUGCCCACAACUUUGGGAUAACGCUAGGAAACUGGUGCUAAUACUGGAUAUGUGCUCCUGCUGCAUGGUGGGGGUUGGAAAGCUCCGGCGGUUGUGGAUGGACUCGCGGCCUAUCAGCUUGUUGGUGGGGUAGUGGCCUACCAAGGCGGCGACGGGUAGCCGGCCUGAGAGGGUGACCGGCCACAUUGGGACUGAGAUACGGCCCAGACUCCUACGGGAGGCAGCGGUGGGGAAUAUUGCACAAUGGGCGCAAGCCUGAUGCAGCAACGCCGCGUGCGGGAUAACGGCCUUCGGGUUGUAAACCGCUUUCAGCAGGGACGAAGCUUUUUGUGACGGUACCUGCAGAAGAAGCACCGGCUAACUACGUG
RNAcentral lists this ribosomal RNA (465 nucleotides) under uncultured bacterium. RNAcentral's name for it is "partial 16S ribosomal RNA". It matches the Rfam family "Bacterial small subunit ribosomal RNA", at positions 28 to 507 of the family's 1533-position model. The record is from RNAcentral.